This is a small nucleolar RNA of Malania oleifera, 147 nucleotides long. RefSeq annotates it as small nucleolar RNA snoR135. Lineage: Eukaryota; Viridiplantae; Streptophyta; Magnoliopsida; Santalales; Ximeniaceae. The record is from RefSeq and is a predicted model, not a curated record. The transcript has a single exon.
UAAGCAGUGAUUGUGUGUAUCUGUGUUGUGCUAUGUUCAAUACACCCUUUUGCCAAAAGAGUUCCCUGCAACGUUGAUUUGGAGAAGGUGGGCAGUUGGGUUUCAGGCUAUUCAUUGUGUUAUCCAACAAUCAUCUUCCCCAAAUUA